This is a long non-coding RNA of Phyllopteryx taeniolatus (common seadragon), 629 nucleotides long. RefSeq lists it as uncharacterized. The transcript is spliced from 3 exons. The record is from RefSeq and is a predicted model, not a curated record. NCBI's taxonomy places the organism in Eukaryota, Metazoa, Chordata, Actinopteri, Syngnathiformes, Syngnathidae.
GUGCCCUUAUUCCAUGCGGUGGCCAUUUGGUGGAAUUGCACUUCUUUGUUCAUAAAUUCACCCAGUUCUACCAGUGUAACGUACAACUGGCCAUGAAACUAUUGCAACGUUCCAUUUACCUUGGAAAUGGGACAUUGGAGCUGGGAAUGACAUCACCGCCGAGUUAUCGGCGUUCCAUUUACCAAGUCGGAAAACAAGAUGGCGACCACUGCGAAAAAAACUUCAACUUCUAGACAAACGUGGUCCUUCUGCAACCUUCACACAUGGUGGAUGAAUAGGAAACACAAAGACGCAGAAGGAUAAUCUAGAUAAUAAUAAUGCUGCAGCAUACACAGUGAAUUGAAGACUGGAACCGAUCAUGCUGAGUUUACCAUGGCAAACCAAAAGAGCUUCCGAUGAGGUGCAAGUGGAGGCGCCUACAAGAUCUGCAGAACACCCGGAUCGAUGCAAUGGUGAUGAUCAUAAUGGCGGCUUGUUUUCUCCACAACAUGUGCAUGGGUGCUUUGGAGAUCUGUCAGAACAUCCAAAUGGAUGCCCAAGACCGGCAGAUGAAAAUGAGGCCAUGCUGUCAAAUGAUCCGGCUUUCUUAAAAUGUUCAUACUGUAAAUAGUUAUCAAUAAUGCACUGCU